UGGUGGAGUGAUUUGUCUGGUUAAUUCCGAUAACGAACGAGACCUCAGCCUACUAAAUAGUUAUGUUAACCUUCUAUUCGGGUGAAGUUUGGCACCAUGAGUUAGGUUUCGGCUUGGCUCUCUUGCCAGAUGGAUCCUUGAUGAGUUAACAGAUAUACUUCUUAGAGGGACUAUUCAUGUUUAGUGAAUGGAAGUUUGAGGCAAUAACA
Molecule: ribosomal RNA, 209 nt
Filed under: uncultured eukaryote
Lineage: Eukaryota
Description: partial 18S ribosomal RNA
Rfam family: Eukaryotic small subunit ribosomal RNA
Source: RNAcentral